RNAcentral lists this ribosomal RNA (236 nucleotides) under uncultured bacterium. Its description in RNAcentral is "partial 16S ribosomal RNA". It matches the Rfam family "Bacterial small subunit ribosomal RNA", at positions 100 to 339 of the family's 1533-position model. The record is from RNAcentral.
GAACGGGUGAGUAAUAUAUCGGAACGUACCUAGUAAUGGGGGAUAACUAUCCGAAAGGAUAGCUAAUACCGCAUACGCCCUGAGGGGGAAAGAGGGGGAUCGCAAGACCUCUCGUUAUUAGAGCGGCCGAUAUCAGAUUAGCUAGUUGGUGAGGUAAAGGCUCACCAAGGCGACGAUCUGUAGCGGGUCUUAGAGGACGAUCCGCCACACUGGAACUGAGACACGGUCCAGACUCC